ACGGGUGAGUAACACGUGAGUAACCUGCCCUUAACUCUGGGAUAAGCCUGGGAAACUGGGUCUAAUACCGGAUAGGAGCGCCCACCGCAUGGUGGGUGUUGGAAAGAUUUAUCGGUUUUGGAUGGACUCGCGGCCUAUCAGCUUGUUGGUGAGGUAAUGGCUCACCAAGGCGACGACGGGUAGCCGGCCUGAGAGGGUGACCGGCCACACUGGGACUGAGACACGGCCCAGACUCCUACGGGAGGCAGCAGUGGGGAAUAUUGCACAAUGGGCGCAAGCCUGAUGCAGCGACGCCGCGUGAGGGAUGACGGCCUUCGGGUUGUAAACCUCUUUCAGUAGGGAAGAAGCGAAAGUGACGGUACCUGCAGAAGAAGCACCGGCUAACUACGUGCCAGCAGCCGCGGUAAUACGUAGGGUGCGAGCGUUAUCCGGAAUUAUUGGGCGUAAAGAGCUCGUAGGCGGUUUGUCGCGUCUGUCGUGAAAGUCCGGGGCUUAACCCCGGAUCUGCGGUGGGUACGGGCAGACUAGAGUGCAGUAGGGGAGACUGGAAUUCCUGGUGUAGCGGUGGAAUGCGCAGAUAUCAGGAGGAACACCGAUGGCGAAGGCAGGUCUCUGGGCUGUAACUGACGCUGAGGAGCGAAAGCAUGGGGAGCGAACAGGAUUAGAUACCCUGGUAGUCCAUGCCGUAAACGUUGGGCACUAGGUGUGGGGACCAUUCCACGGUUUCCGCGCCGCAGCUAACGCAUUAAGUGCCCCGCCUGGG
RNAcentral lists this ribosomal RNA (763 nucleotides) under Micrococcus sp. 47. Its description in RNAcentral is "bacterial SSU rRNA". It matches the Rfam family "Bacterial small subunit ribosomal RNA", at positions 102 to 877 of the family's 1533-position model. Lineage: Bacteria; Bacillati; Actinomycetota; Actinomycetes; Micrococcales; Micrococcaceae. The record is from RNAcentral.